Sapajus apella (tufted capuchin) is the source of this 2602-nucleotide long non-coding RNA. RefSeq lists it as uncharacterized. The transcript has 2 exons. Lineage: Eukaryota; Metazoa; Chordata; Mammalia; Primates; Cebidae. The record is from RefSeq and is a predicted model, not a curated record.
UCGUCCCCGCCUUUCAGUACUCCGCUUCAGCCGGCCUAGUGCUCUUCCCCCAGCUCGCAGAGUCCAGCUCCAUCCCUAAGAACCCUGGCCCCACAAAGCUCUCCCAGAAUAACCCCAACCCUGCGCCCUGGGCUCUCCUCCUAGAUCUUGAGCCCUCCGGGAAUGGAGAGUUCUGUUUUGGCAAGAGCAAUCUAGAAGAUCAUAGAAAGUCUGGUCCAAAUGCUUCAUCUUACAUUUAAGGAAAGAGGUACAGAAAGGGUAGGACUUGCCUGUCACACAGCUCUGUGGAGGAAGUUGGAUUUUGGGGCACUUCCCCUCAUUCUAGCUAAGAGCCACUCUACCUGAAGGUAUGGUCCCUCUUCUCUUGCUUUUCCUCAGUUUUUCAAAGGACUGAAAGACAAAGGAGUCUGUGGAAACCUAGCUUCCCCUGGGUACCUGAGAUAUAUAAAUUCUCACCACCAUCACUUUUCAGGACCUUGCUCCGUUUACUUUUUCACAAUUGUAUAUUGAGCAUGUUAUUGUCUCAAGAAAUGUCUAUUUGUUAAAUCAGUAGUGUAUUUUUCUAGUUGUCAGUUUAUUUUUCUAGCUCCUCUCAUUUCUCCUCACCAAUGGAUGGCACACUCACUGAAAACAGCAUUGUAAUACCUGACUCACUGCAGAAAGAUGCUUGGAGAUCCAGUACUACACUGUACUCUUUGCUUUGGAGCCUUCGAUCUACUCAAGAUCAUUGAGAGUGUAUGCCACUUUGGCCUAAGGAUUAUUUUGAGCUGAAGACAAUUAGGAAGAAGCAAAUAGGUACAGGGUACUAGAAAAGCAUUCUGCCUUCCCUUUAUUUGCCAAAAAGCAGGAUAUAAGUUUGCAAAGAUGUACCUCCUGCCUGCUCUAUCAGGAAGGACAAAGAUUAAUCACCAGAGACAAUUGUAGACCCUUGUCAGCCUGGAGACAACACAAGAAGAAUCUACAUGAUAAACUUUAGUGUCUAGCCUUUAUCUGCAACUAGUCUCCCAUAAAUUUGUCUUCCCACAAUUUGCUGCCCCUAGAGACUCAAGGUCCUUUAUCUUGUCAUUUCUCUAAAAAAAUUUAUUGUUCCUUUGCUAACAUGCUGUUUUUUGGGGUUUUUUUUUUUUGAGAUAGAGUUUCUGUCACCUGGGAUGGAGUGCAGUGGUGUGAGCCCAAGUUCUAAACAAACGUUUGAAUUGCUCAUCUCUGAGUGUUCCCAUAUGUCACCUACAUGAACAAUACACAUGUUGAUAAACUUGCUUUACUUUUGUUUGUCUUUGGCCAGUCUAAUGCACCGGGCCCCAGCUGAAGAACCUAAGAUACAUCAAGGAAAAGAUUCUUCCUCCCCUACAAGAGCUUGGUUCCCUAUCAUAUUAUUUCUAAUACCUGUUAGAGCAUUCAAGGGAACCUGCGUAUCAGACAAGCCCUGGAAGUCUGUGGUUUUUAGCUCUCUUCUUCGUGUAGUGCUAAGCUGCUCUCAUGGGGAAGAUAUUCUAUGGGGUUAAAUUUCCCUCAUUCCUUUUUUCUAUUUCCAACCACCUACUGUGUCUCCAGAGAGCCUAAACAGGGUUUGCAGGAGCCUUCCAUGUCAGCCUGACUCCAGUCACACAAAAGGUAAGUGAUUUUAGAGCAAACUGACAACACAUCAGAGGCAGAGCUUGGUGUGAGCACCCUAGGCUCAGGAGUAAGAUACGGACUGGAAGGUGGUAUGAAACUAAAAGCUGAGGUGUUUGCCCCAGGUUAAAAGUCUGGAAUUAGAAAAAUGCUGGGACAGUGUUUGUCUUGAACAAGUUUUCUGCCCACGCCAGCUGUCCUUUCCAGGUUACCAAAUACCUUAAAGGGAAAGUUAGCUAUUUUGCCAUAGGCUUUAACCAUCUGAAAAAAUCUGCUUUUCUUUUGCCUGAUGUUGCACUGAAAAAAUUGUUCUUCCACUUACCCCUUCCACAUUUUCUCAAGAAUAAAAGAGUCUUCAGAAACGGAAAGUAAAACCCUAAAAACCAAAUCCUUCUCCCCAACUUGGCAUUGGUAUGUUACUUGGAUGUAUAAGAUCUGUGACCUCUGUCAUGCUGCCUAUGACUACAGUGGACUUAUUGGGAUGAAUUUUAAUAUUCUCUCCUUGCAUUCAAUAAUCUUGCACUGAUGAGCUAGGUUUUAUUGUCUCUAUCUUACAGGUAGGAAAACAAGUUCUCAGUAACCAGUGAAAAGGGAAGCUGAGAUCAAGUUCCAAACUGUUCAACUCUAAAGUCAGAUGGUCAGCACUUGCACUGUUCCCCACAGUAGAUCUUAUGCACCGAGAAGCAAGAAUUCUUAUAGUAAUUACAAAUAACAGUAACCUCUUAUGUUUCACAGGGCAUCAAAUCCAUUCGCUGAUUUAAUUUUCUCCUGCAUAACUAUUAGUAUCUUGCAUAUUAUACAAAAUAUUGGCUGAGUUAACAAAUAUCACUAAGGUUACCAUAUACAGUAUCAUCUCUUCCUAUCCUCAGUGGAAGAACGUAGCCUCAAGUUCCAGCUCUGGAUAAAUUUCUCCAUGUUUUAGCUUCCUGAGGUAGCAGUUACAAAAACCUGUCUCAAAGAGUCUUGCAGUGAAUUAAAUGAGAAAAAA